GACGAACCGUGCGAACGUUGUUCGGAAUCACUGGGCUUAAAGGGCGCGUAGGCGGCUUGCCAAGUCAGUGGUGAAAUCCUGCAGCUUAACUGCAGAAGUGCCUUUGAUACUGGCGAGCUCGAGGGAGGUAGGGGUAUGUGGAACUUCUGGUGGAGCGGUGAAAUGCGUUGAUAUCAGGAGGAACACCGGUGGCGAAGGCGGGUCUCUGGGCCGAUACUGACGCUGAGGAGCGAAAGCGUGGGGAGCGAACAGG
This 253-nucleotide ribosomal RNA is filed under the name uncultured bacterium. RNAcentral's name for it is "partial 16S ribosomal RNA". It matches the Rfam family "Bacterial small subunit ribosomal RNA", at positions 524 to 776 of the family's 1533-position model. The record is from RNAcentral.